UACGGGGGGGGCAAGCGUUGUUCGGAAUUACUGGGCGUAAAGGGCUCGUAGGCGGCCAACUAAGUCAGACGUGAAAUCCCUCGGCUUAACCGGGGAACUGCGUCUGAUACUGGAUGGCUUGAGGUUGGGAGAGGGAUGCGGAAUUCCAGGUGUAGCGGUGAAAUGCGUAGAUAUCAGGAGGAACACCAAUAGCGAAGGCAGCUCGCUGGGACGUUACUGACACUGAGGCGCGAAAGCGUGGGGAGCGAACAGG
This 253-nucleotide ribosomal RNA is filed under the name uncultured bacterium. RNAcentral describes it as "partial 16S ribosomal RNA". It matches the Rfam family "Bacterial small subunit ribosomal RNA", at positions 524 to 776 of the family's 1533-position model. The record is from RNAcentral.